Molecule: ribosomal RNA, 424 nt
Filed under: uncultured bacterium
Lineage: Bacteria
Description: bacterial SSU rRNA
Rfam family: Bacterial small subunit ribosomal RNA
Source: RNAcentral
GCUUAACGCGAAGAACCUUACCCAGACUUGACAUCCUUGGAAGGACUACGAAAGUAGACUGUGCCUUUUGGAGCCAAGUGACAGGUGUUGCAUGGCCGUCGUCAGCUCGUGUCGUGAGAUGUUUGGUUAAGUCCAUUAACGAGCGCAACCCUUGUGAAUAGUUGUAUUUUUCUAUUCAGACUGCCCUGGCAACAGGGAGGAAGGAGGGGAUGAUGUCAGGUCAGUAUUACCCUUACGUCUGGGGCUACAAACACGCUACAAUGGCCGGUACAAAGGGACGCCAACCCGCGAGGGGGAGCAAAUCCCAUCAAAGCCGGUCUCAGUUCGGAUUGCAGGCUGAAACUCGCCUGCAUGAAGCUGGAAUCGCUAGUAACGGUAAGUCAGCAGAUUACCGUGAAUACGUUCCCGGGUCUUGUACACACCG